UACGUAGGGUGCAAGCGUUGUCCGGAAUUAUUGGGCGUAAAGAGCUCGUAGGCGGCCUGUCACGUCGGCUGUGAAAUCCCGAGGCUCAACCUCGGGUCUGCAGUCGAUACGGGCAAACUAGAGUAUUGCAGAGGAGAUUGGAAUUCCUGGUGUAGCGGUGAAAUGCGCAGAUAUCAGGAGGAACACCAACAGCGAAGGCAGAUCUCUGGGACGUUACUGACGCUGAGACGCGAAAGCGUGGGGAGCAAACAGG
This 253-nucleotide ribosomal RNA is filed under the name uncultured bacterium. Its description in RNAcentral is "partial 16S ribosomal RNA". It matches the Rfam family "Bacterial small subunit ribosomal RNA", at positions 524 to 776 of the family's 1533-position model. The record is from RNAcentral.